CCUACGGGAGGCAGCAGUGGGGAAUUUUGGACAAUGGGCGCAAGCCUGAUCCAGCAAUGCCGCGUGAGUGAAGAAGGCCUUCGGGUUGUAAAGCUCUUUUGUCAGGGAAGAAACGGUGGUUCCUAAUACGGACUACUAAUGACGGUACCUGAAGAAUAAGCACCGGCUAACUACGUGCCAGCAGCCGCGGUAAUACGUAGGGUGCAAGCGUUAAUCGGAAUUACUGGGCGUAAAGCGUGCGCAGGCGGUUAUAUAAGUCAGAUGUGAAAUCCCCGGGCUCAACCUGGGAACUGCAUUUGAGACUGUAUGGCUAGAGUGUGUCAGAGGGGGGUAGAAUUCCACGUGUAGCAGUGAAAUGCGUAGAUAUGUGGAGGAAUACCGAUGGCGAAGGCAGCCCCCUGGGAUAACACUGACGCUCAUGCACGAACGACGGUGGGGUAGGACGAACAGGAGUUAGUAUACCCUACGGUAGUACCGACCGACCCGUAAACCGAACUAGUCUACUACGUUGUUCGGGUACGUUAAUUAGUUCGUUGGUUACGUCGAGCGUACGCGUGUAGUAGACCGCCGUCGGGUAAGGUACGGUCGUUCGAGUAAGUUAAACGUUAAAGUAAGUUAGUUAGGCGUGAGAGNGCGACGGACGACGACGAGGGAGGAGG
This 659-nucleotide ribosomal RNA is filed under the name uncultured bacterium. Its description in RNAcentral is "bacterial SSU rRNA". The stretch from base 1 to 569 matches the Rfam family "Bacterial small subunit ribosomal RNA", at positions 338 to 873 of the family's 1533-position model. The record is from RNAcentral.